This 253-nucleotide ribosomal RNA is filed under the name uncultured bacterium. Its description in RNAcentral is "partial 16S ribosomal RNA". It matches the Rfam family "Bacterial small subunit ribosomal RNA", at positions 524 to 776 of the family's 1533-position model. The record is from RNAcentral.
GACGGAAGGUGCAAGCGUUGCUCGGAAUCACUGGGCGUAAAGGGUGCGUAGGCGGCCUGGUAAGUCUGGCGUGAAAGCCCAGGGCUCAGCCCUGGAAGUGCGCUAGAAACUGCGAGGCUCGAGUGCCGGAGGGGAGAGUGGAAUUCCUGGUGUAGCGGUGAAAUGCGUAGAUAUCAGGAGGAAUACCUGAGGCGAAGGCGGGCUACUGGGCCGAUACUGACGCUGAUGCGCGAAAGCCAGGGGAGCAAACGGG